AUUGAACGCUGGCGGCAUGCCUUACACAUGCAAGUCGAACGGUAACAGGGAGCUUGCUCCGCUGACGAGUGGCGAACGGGUGAGUAAUGUAUCGGAACGUACCUUUUAGUGGGGGAUAACGUAGCGAAAGUUACGCUAAUACCGCAUAUUCUCUGAGGAGGAAAGCAGGGGACCUUCGGGCCUUGCGCUAAUAGAGCGGCUGAUAUCAGAUUAGCUAGUUGGUGAGGUAAAGGCUCACCAAGGCGACGAUCUGUAGCGGGUCUGAGAGGAUGUUCCGACACAGUGGACCUGAGACACGGUCCAGACUCCUACGGGAGGCAGCAGGGGGUAAUGUUGGACAACGGGGGCAACCCUGAUCCAGCCAUGCCGCGUGAGUGAAGAAGGCCUUCGGGUUGUAAAGCUCUUUCGGCCGGGAAAAAAUCGCAUGGGUUAAAACCCUGUGUGGAUGAUGGUACCGGAAUAAGAAGCACCGGCUAACUACGUGCCAGCCGCCGCCGUAA
Molecule: ribosomal RNA, 500 nt
Filed under: uncultured bacterium
Lineage: Bacteria
Description: partial 16S ribosomal RNA
Rfam family: Bacterial small subunit ribosomal RNA
Source: RNAcentral